UCACUCAAAUGCACGUGCAGCGCCGCCUUGUAGGGAGAACGCUUGUCUUCUUACCUGUUUUCGUAUUAAUUCUCUGCCAGCUGCCUGAGCACUAUGGACUUAGUCUUUGAUGCUUACAAUGUUGUUUGUUAUUUGCGUUAUAUUAGGGAUGUACUGAUGGGCAAAAAUCUUGCUGGCAAUUUGUCAUGAAGGAAAGGAGAAAUCUGUCCUGAAUGAAGGAAGAAAUCUGUACGGAGCCAUGCAAAGUCCAGCUUUGGUGAGCAAGUAUCUAGUCUGGGUACCUUCAUGUCCCCACACACCUGGGUGACUCUCUGGGGAGGAGAAAAGCAGGAGGAAAGACCCUCCCAUCCCUGGGUACUUAUUUUGAGUCUAGAGAGCGUGGGCCAGGAGGGGAUGAGAAAGUCCUCAGGAUGCUACAGGGAACAGAAACACUCUGAUGUGACUCAUCCUUCAAGCACCAACAUUUGCAUCCAACUUGCAUCUACCUCCUUCCCCAAAACCCCUGUAAAUACACAGCAAGAACUUC
This is a long non-coding RNA of Falco peregrinus (peregrine falcon), 526 nucleotides long. RefSeq lists it as uncharacterized. Lineage: Eukaryota; Metazoa; Chordata; Aves; Falconiformes; Falconidae. The transcript has 2 exons. The record is from RefSeq and is a predicted model, not a curated record.